This is a non-coding RNA of Calothrix sp. HK-06, 183 nucleotides long. NCBI's taxonomy places the organism in Bacteria, Bacillati, Cyanobacteriota, Cyanophyceae, Nostocales, Calotrichaceae. The record is from Rfam.
GUUGUACUGCAACGUUGGUGACUGCCAUCAAGUUUUUUGAUCUAUGUCUUUAAGAAUUCGGGAACCGAUUAUUGUUCGUGGCAGUAGACCGAGCUUGUACUCGGAAACUUUAAACGAAACACAAGGCUCCCACCUGGUUAUACCAGGUCAUAAACUUAGGUAAAACGGCGUCGCGGUAUGACA